GACGAACGCUGGCGGCGUGCUUAACACAUGCAAGUCGAACGGAAAGGCCCUGCUUUUGUGGGGUGCUCGAGUGGCGAACGGGUGAGUAACACGUGAGUAACCUGCCCUUGACUUUGGGAUAACUUCAGGAAACUGGGGCUAAUACCGGAUAGGAGCUCCUGCUGCAUGGUGGGGGUUGGAAAGUUUCGGCGGUUGGGGAUGGACUCGCGGCUUAUCAGCUUGUUGGUGGGGUAGUGGCUUACCAAGGCUUUGACGGGUAGCCGGCCUGAGAGGGUGACCGGCCACAUUGGGACUGAGAUACGGCCCAGACUUCUACGGGAGGCAGCAGUGGGGAAUAUUGCACAAUGGGCGGAAGCCCGAUGCAGCAACGCCGCGUGCGGGAUGACGGCCUUCGGGUUGUAAACCGCUUUCGCCUGUGACGAAGCGUGAGUGACGGUAAUGGGUAAAGAAGCACCGGCUAACUACGUG
RNAcentral lists this ribosomal RNA (468 nucleotides) under uncultured bacterium. RNAcentral's name for it is "partial 16S ribosomal RNA". It matches the Rfam family "Bacterial small subunit ribosomal RNA", at positions 28 to 507 of the family's 1533-position model. The record is from RNAcentral.